AACGCACCUUGCGCCUCUUGGUAUUCCGAGGGGCAUGCCUGUUUGAGUGUCGUUGAAUCCUCAAAAGGGAAGCUUGACCGUUUCUCUUUUGGAAUUGGGGUGUGCUGGCCUUUUGUCAAUGAAGCCCAGCUCCUCUAAAAUGCAUUAGCGAUGUGACAUCCACAUGCACCGCGCUUCUCUGGCAUUGAUAGUAUCUUCAUGCUAGGGGCGGGUUUUGCAGCUGUGGAAAGCUUUGCUCGCUCACAACUGAUGGCGUGGAGAGGUGCCUUUGUGCCUCCUCACCUAUCCUCUGACAAUAUCACCUCAAAUCAGGUAGGAUUACCCGCUGAACUUAA
Molecule: unclassified non-coding RNA, 335 nt
Filed under: uncultured Hygrocybe
Lineage: Eukaryota; Fungi; Basidiomycota; Agaricomycetes; Agaricales; Hygrophoraceae
Description: sequence contains ITS2
Rfam family: 5.8S ribosomal RNA (bases 1-52)
Source: RNAcentral